CUUUCUGUUUCAGGGUUUCCAAAUGUAAUUGGGUGAAUUGAUGGCACUCACAUUCCUAUUAAAGCUCCAUCAAUAAAUGAGGGAGACUAUGUUAAUAGGAAAUCUAUUCAUAGUAUCAAUGUGCAGGUAACAACUUAAUUUUUUCCCCUUCUUAAAAUCAUCAAAGUCAUUACUUUUUCCACUAACUAUAGGUAAUAUGUGAGGCAACCCAAAUCAUCACCAAUGUCGAGGCAAAAUGGCCAGGAUCUGUGCAUGAUGCCAGAAUUUUCCGCGAGUCAUCAUUAUGCCAGACAUUUCAGCAGGGACAGUACAAUGGUUACUUGCUGGGGGACAGAGGAUACCCUUGUCUGCCUUAUUUAAUGACACCCUACCCUGAACCUGAGCCUGGACCACAGACACUGUUUAACCUGGCUCACAGCCGAACACGGGCCAAGGUGGAGAUGACUGUAGGGAUCCUCAAAUCUCGGUUUCAGUGUCUGCGUGGGCUCCGGGUUAGUCCAGAGAGGGCAUGCGACAUUAUUGUGGCUUGUGUUGUGCUUCACAAUAUUGCCACUAUAAGAGGAGAGAGCCACCCUCCUUGUAUUGAGGAAGAUGGCCCAGAGGAACACCGACAGAUUUUAGAGGCCAACAGAGACGGAAGACUUUUGAGAGACAGGAUUUGUCAAAAUUACUUUUAUUAGUUUUUUUUGCACUGGUCUGCCAGGCAGUUUAUUUCUUCAUUUCCUGAAAAACAAUAAAAGUACAAUUCAUUAAAA
Carassius carassius (crucian carp) is the source of this 755-nucleotide long non-coding RNA. RefSeq lists it as uncharacterized. Lineage: Eukaryota; Metazoa; Chordata; Actinopteri; Cypriniformes; Cyprinidae. The transcript has 2 exons. The record is from RefSeq and is a predicted model, not a curated record.